This 490-nucleotide ribosomal RNA is filed under the name uncultured bacterium. RNAcentral's name for it is "partial 16S ribosomal RNA". It matches the Rfam family "Bacterial small subunit ribosomal RNA", at positions 28 to 507 of the family's 1533-position model. The record is from RNAcentral.
GAUGAACGCUAGCUACAGGCUUAACACAUGCAAGUCGAGGGGCAGCAUGGUCUUAGCUUGCUAAGGCCGAUGGCGACCGGCGCACGGGUGAGUAACACGUAUCCAACCUGCCGUCUACUCUUGGACAGCCUUCUGAAAGGAAGAUUAAUACAAGAUGGCAUCAUGAGUCCGCAUGUUCACAUGAUUAAAGGUAUUCCGGUAGACGAUGGGGAUGCGUUCCAUUAGAUAGUAGGCGGGGUAACGGCCCACCUAGUCUUCGAUGGAUAGAGGUUCUGAGAGGAAGGUCCCCCACAUUGGAACUGAGACACGGUCCAAACUCCUACGGGAGGCAGCAGUGAGGAAUAUUGGUCAAUGGGCGAGAGCCUGAACCAGCCAAGUAGCGUGAAGGAUGACUGCCCUAUGGGUGGUAAACUUCUUUUAGAAAGGAAUAAAGUCGGGUAUGGAUACCCGUUUGCAUGUACUUUAUGAAUAAGGAUCGGCUAACUCCGUG